Molecule: non-coding RNA, 117 nt
Organism: Cristinia sonorae
Lineage: Eukaryota; Fungi; Basidiomycota; Agaricomycetes; Agaricales; Stephanosporaceae
Source: the annotation of a GenBank genome assembly
GGCGCCAUAGCUAAGCGGUUACAGCGACAGAUUAGAAUUUGAUCCGGGUCACGUGACUCCACUUCAACGACUAUCUGUUCCUCUUUGAGGGCGCAGGUUCGAAUCCUGCUGGCGUCG